ACGGAAGGCAGCAGUGAGGAAUAUUGGUCAAUGGGCGAGAGCCUGAACCAGCCAAGUAGCGUGCAGGAUGACGGCCCUAUGGGUUGUAAACUGCUUUUAACCGGGAAUAACGUUACCUUCGUGAAGGUAAGUGCAUGUACCGGUUGAAUAAGGAUCGGCUAACUCCGUGCCAGCAGCCGCGGUAAUACGGAGGAUUCGAGCGUUAUCCGGAUUUAUUGGGUUUAAAGGGAGCGUAGGCGGGAAGUCAAGUCAGCUGUGAAAUGUAGACGCUCAACGUCUGCACUGCAGUUGAAACUGGUUUUCUUGAGUGCGUAAGAGGCAGGCGGAAUUCGUCGUGUAGCGGUGAAAUGCUUAGAUAUGACGAAGAACACCGAUUGCGUAGGCAGCAGACCAGGCCGUAAAUGACGCUCAUGCACGAAAGUGCGGGGAUCGAACAGGAUUAGAUACCCUGGUA
Molecule: ribosomal RNA, 454 nt
Filed under: uncultured Prevotellaceae bacterium
Lineage: Bacteria; Pseudomonadati; Bacteroidota; Bacteroidia; Bacteroidales; Prevotellaceae
Description: bacterial SSU rRNA
Rfam family: Bacterial small subunit ribosomal RNA
Source: RNAcentral